RNAcentral lists this long non-coding RNA (447 nucleotides) under Mus musculus (house mouse). RNAcentral describes it as "predicted gene, 49460". The record is from RNAcentral. Lineage: Eukaryota; Metazoa; Chordata; Mammalia; Rodentia; Muridae.
UCUGAGAAUGAGCAUUUGGAAUUACUGGGACCAAUCAUGAACACGCUUCUCCUUGGAAUCAAACUGAGCCAUGUCCUCAUCAUCCUUCCCAGCCUGCAGUGGCAACUCUGUCUGUCUGUAUUGCGUCUGUCAACAUCAUACAACGCUUUUUUAGAAGAAAGCAUGACAUCACUGAAGUUCCUCCUGGUCCUUGCUCUCAGAGCUUCACUUACAACUCGGCAUGAUGGCAGUCUAAGGAACAUGAUGACAUCAGUGAGUGAUGACAGAUGGCAUCUGGGCUCUGCUUGAGACACCUGUCCAGAAGAGAGCCUAUAGCAACAUACCUAUUCCUUAAUAGCCACUGCCUUGGACUGUGGGGAUCUCUGAAGAUUCUAUUUCUUCUUCACCUUACUACAAUUAAUUUUUCUACAAUAAACAUAGAUUAAUUUGUUAGCAGAGGUUACCUAA